GAUGAACGCUGGCGGCGUGCUUAACACAUGCAAGUCGAACGGAAAGGCCCAAGCUUGCUUGGUUACUCGAGUGGCGCACGGGUGAGUAACACGUGGGUGUUCUGCCCUGCACUUCGUGAUAAGCCUGGGAAACUGGGUCUAAUACCGGAUAUGAUCUCAUUUUGGAUGGUGUUCUGGAAAGUUUUUCGGUGUUGGAUGAGCUCGCGGCCUAUCCGCUUGCUGGUGGGGUACUGGCCUACCAAGGCGUCGACGGGUAGCCGGCCUGAGAGGGUGUACGGACACAUUGGGACUGAGAGAGGGGCCAGAGUACUACGGGAGGCAGCAGGGGGGAAUAUUGGACAAUGGGAGCAAGCGUGAGGGAGCGACGCCGCGUGGGGGAUGACGGCGGUCGGGUGGUAAACACAAAUCGCUAGGGAAGAAGCGAUUUUGUGACGGUACCUGGAGAAGAAGCAACGGCUAACUACGUG
This 467-nucleotide ribosomal RNA is filed under the name uncultured bacterium. RNAcentral's name for it is "partial 16S ribosomal RNA". It matches the Rfam family "Bacterial small subunit ribosomal RNA", at positions 28 to 507 of the family's 1533-position model. The record is from RNAcentral.